RNAcentral lists this ribosomal RNA (648 nucleotides) under Triticum aestivum (bread wheat). RNAcentral's name for it is "partial small subunit ribosomal RNA". Lineage: Eukaryota; Viridiplantae; Streptophyta; Magnoliopsida; Poales; Poaceae. The record is from RNAcentral.
AUGCUCCUCCUGCUCGCCGCGGCCGCCCUGCUCGCCGCCGGCGCGGGCGCCGCCGUGCCGCCGUCGUGCGAGCGCAUCGAGUGCCCGGCGUACGACGUGGUGGACAGCGCCAACGGGUUCGAGAUCCGGCGGUACAAGGACGCGAUGUGGGUCUCCACCGCGCCCAUCGAGGACAUCUCGCUCGUCGACGCCACCCGCUCCGGCUUCCUCCAGCUUUUCAAGUACAUCCAGGGGAAGAACGCGUACAACGAGACGAUCGAGAUGACGGCGCCGGUGCUGACGCGGGUGGCGCCCAGCGACGGGCCCUUCUGCGUCUCCUCCUUCGUGGUCAGCUUCUACGUGCCGGCCAAGAACCAGGCGGACCCGCCGCCGGCCGAGGGCCUGCGCGUGCAGAGGUGGGCCGGGGCGAGGUACGCGGCCGUGCGCCGGUUCGGCGGCUUCGUAGCCGACGCCGACGUCGGCAAGCAGGCCGCGCUGCUCGAGGCCAGCCUGCAGGGGACCAGGUGGGCCGCGCCCGUGUCCGACGGCCGCAAGGCCGACCCGGCGUCCGAGUACACCGUGGCGCAGUACAACUCGCCGUUCGAGUUCAGCGGCAGGGUGAACGAGAUAUGGAUGCUCUUCGACACCAUGGCCGCGUCCGACAUGUAA